Molecule: ribosomal RNA, 450 nt
Filed under: uncultured bacterium
Lineage: Bacteria
Description: bacterial SSU rRNA
Rfam family: Bacterial small subunit ribosomal RNA
Source: RNAcentral
GUAGGGAAUAUUGCGCAAUGGGCGAAAGCCUGACGCAGCGACGCCGCGUGAGCGAUGAAGGCCUUCGGGUCGUAAAGCUCUGUUGCAGGGGAAGAAAUACGUAUGACUAAUACUCAUACGGGUUGACGGUACUCUGCGAGAAAGGACCGGCUAACUUCGUGCCAGCAGCCGCGGUAAGACGAAGGGUCCUAGCGUUGUUCGGAAUUACUGGGCGUAAAGCGCAUGUAGGCGGCUAAAUAAGUCAGAUGUGAAAUCCCUUGGCUCAACCAUGGAACUGCAUUUGAAACUAUUUAGCUUGAGUACGGUAGAGGAUAGCGGAAUUCCUGGUGUAGUGGUGAAAUACGUAGAUAUCAGGAGGAACAUCGGUGGCGAAGGCGGCUAUCUGGCCCGCUACUGACGCUGAGAUGCGAAAGCGUGGGUAUCAAACAGGAUUAGAAACCCCUGUAGUCC